CACGUAGGGCGCAAGCGUUGUCCGGAAUUAUUGGGCGUAAAGAGCUCGUAGGUGGUUUGUUACGUCUGCUGUGAAAACCUAGGGCUUAACCCUGGGCUUGCAGUGGAUACGGGCAGACUAGAGUGCGGUAGGGGUGACUGGAAUUCCUGGUGUAGCGGUGGAAUGCGCAGAGUAUCAGGAGGAACACCGGUGGCGAAGGCGGGUCUCUGGGCCGAUGAUUGACGCUGGAGGAGCGAAAGCAUGGGGAGCGAACAGG
Molecule: ribosomal RNA, 256 nt
Filed under: uncultured bacterium
Lineage: Bacteria
Description: partial 16S ribosomal RNA
Rfam family: Bacterial small subunit ribosomal RNA
Source: RNAcentral